This 73-nucleotide transfer RNA is filed under the name Deltaproteobacteria bacterium. RNAcentral's name for it is "tRNA-Lys". It matches the Rfam family "tRNA". From Rfam's summary of the family: Transfer RNA (tRNA) molecules are approximately 80 nucleotides in length. Their secondary structure includes four short double-helical elements and three loops (D, anti-codon, and T loops). Further hydrogen bonds mediate the characteristic L-shaped molecular structure. tRNAs have two regions of fundamental functional importance: the anti-codon, which is responsible for specific mRNA codon recognition, and the 3' end, to which the tRNAs corresponding amino acid is attached (by aminoacyl-tRNA synthetases). tRNAs cope with the degeneracy of the genetic code in two manners: having more than one tRNA (with a specific anti-codon) for a particular amino acid; and 'wobble' base-pairing, i.e. permitting non-standard base-pairing at the 3rd anti-codon position. The record is from RNAcentral. Lineage: Bacteria; Pseudomonadati; Myxococcota; Myxococcia.
GGGCCUAUAGCUCAGUUGGUAGAGCACCGGCCUUUUAAGCCGAGGGUCGCAGGUUCAAACCCUGCUGGGCUCA